This 229-nucleotide ribosomal RNA is filed under the name uncultured bacterium. Its description in RNAcentral is "partial 16S ribosomal RNA". It matches the Rfam family "Bacterial small subunit ribosomal RNA", at positions 104 to 334 of the family's 1533-position model. The record is from RNAcentral.
CGGGGUGAGUAAUGUCUGGGAAACUGCCUGAUGGAGGGGGAUAACUACUGGAAACGGUAGCUAAUACCGCAUAACGUCGCAAGACCAAAGAGGGGGACCUUAGGGCCUCUUGCCAUCGGAUGUGCCCAGAUGGGAUUAGCUAGUAGGUGGGGUAAUGGCUCACCUAGGCGACGAUCCCUAGCUGGCCUGAGAGGAUGACCAGCCACACUGGAACUGAGACACGGUCCAG